This 301-nucleotide ribosomal RNA is filed under the name uncultured bacterium. RNAcentral's name for it is "partial 16S ribosomal RNA". It matches the Rfam family "Bacterial small subunit ribosomal RNA", at positions 509 to 808 of the family's 1533-position model. The record is from RNAcentral.
CAGUAGCCGCGGUAAUACGUAGGGUGCAUGCGUUAAUCGGAAUUACUGGGCGUAAAGCGUGCGCAGGCGGUUCGCUAAGACAGAUGUGAAAUCCCCGGGCUUAACCUGGGAACUGCAUUUGUGACUGGCGGGCUAGAGUAUGGCAGAGGGGGGUAGAAUUCCACGUGUAGCAGUGAAAUGCGUAGAGAUGUGGAGGAAUACCGAUGGUGAAGGCAGCCCCCUGGGCCAAUACUGACGCUCAUGCACGAAGGCGUGGGGAGCAAACAGGAUAGAUACCCCAGUAGUCCCUGUCUCUUAUACA